This 71-nucleotide transfer RNA is filed under the name human gut metagenome. It matches the Rfam family "tRNA". From Rfam's summary of the family: Transfer RNA (tRNA) molecules are approximately 80 nucleotides in length. Their secondary structure includes four short double-helical elements and three loops (D, anti-codon, and T loops). Further hydrogen bonds mediate the characteristic L-shaped molecular structure. tRNAs have two regions of fundamental functional importance: the anti-codon, which is responsible for specific mRNA codon recognition, and the 3' end, to which the tRNAs corresponding amino acid is attached (by aminoacyl-tRNA synthetases). tRNAs cope with the degeneracy of the genetic code in two manners: having more than one tRNA (with a specific anti-codon) for a particular amino acid; and 'wobble' base-pairing, i.e. permitting non-standard base-pairing at the 3rd anti-codon position. The record is from RNAcentral. RNAcentral also lists the same sequence under 1 other name.
GGGUUAUGGCGCAGUUGGUAGCGCGUUUGAAUGGCAUUCAAAAGGCCGAGGGUUCGAAUCCCUUUAACUCC